Molecule: ribosomal RNA, 500 nt
Filed under: uncultured bacterium
Lineage: Bacteria
Description: partial 16S ribosomal RNA
Rfam family: Bacterial small subunit ribosomal RNA
Source: RNAcentral
AUUGAACGCUGGCGGCAGGCCUAACACAUGCAAGUCGAGCGGAUGAGGGGUGCUUGCACCCCGAUUCAGCGGCGGACGGGUGAGUAAUGCCUAGGAAUCUGCCCGAUAGUGGGGGACAACGUUUCGAAGGGAACGCUAAUACCGCAUACGUCCUACGGGAGAAAGUGGGGGCUCUUCGGACCUCACGCUAUCGGAUGAGCCUGGGUCGGAUUAGCUAGUUGGUGGGGUAAAGGCUCACCAAGGCGACGAUCCGUAACUGGUCUGAGAGGAUGAUCAGUCACACUGGAACUGAGACACGGUCCAGACUCCUACGGGAGGCAGCAGUGGGGAAUAUUGGACAAUGGGCGAAAGCCUGAUCCAGCCAUGCCGCGUGUGUGAAGAAGGUCUUCGGAUUGUAAAGCACUUUAAGUUGGGAGGAAGGGUUGUAGGUUAAUACCUUGCAGCCUUGACGUUACCGACAGAAUAAGCACCGGCUAACUUCGUGCCAGCCGCCGCGGUAA